GAGUCGGCGCGCGGCGGGGACGCGAGUCCGUAGGUUACAUUAGUUAUAAUAUACACUCUGGAGGUGACUUGACUUGUCAUUGUGAACAACUAUUGCUCUUGGACGACCCAGGACAUAGGCCAGCCAGUACGUACCCCAGUGUGUUGGAGAAUCGCACUCGGCUUCUUCCUCUGUGCUGAGUCAUGAAAGUUGCCGGAGCAGGUGCAGUUACACAACCUCCAGGCAACAUCACAUGAUCGUUCAAAAAAUAAUCAUCAAGUCCAGGAUGCAGCAUCUGUCUCAGUUUUUGGCGUAGGAUGACAGUCUGAAAUACACUUACUGAAUUUGAAUAAGAACGGGCUCAGGUCAGUGAUGAUCGCUGGUGCCUUAUCAACGCCCUGUGGCUUCUCAGCAUUAGUCCCCAUAUCCUCGACCGGUGUGGCACUGAGAGCAGCUAACUGUUGCCCUCGUUGGUUCCCAGUUGGCUUCCAUGACUGGUCAGGGUCAGGUCCACUGCCAACAGGCUGGUGUUGAAGCCCUUGGAGAAACACAGACAUUCUGACCCUCAAUUAUGCUUUCAAUGCCAUGUGUUUUCUUAUCACAAAAAUCCUCGUUCUCAAGUUUCUUCUUUCUUUAUUUUUAUUUCA
RNAcentral lists this long non-coding RNA (626 nucleotides) under Pan troglodytes (chimpanzee). RNAcentral describes it as "lincRNA". The record is from RNAcentral. Lineage: Eukaryota; Metazoa; Chordata; Mammalia; Primates; Hominidae.